Molecule: ribosomal RNA, 1013 nt
Filed under: uncultured organism
Description: SSU rRNA
Rfam family: Bacterial small subunit ribosomal RNA
Source: RNAcentral
CUCAGGAUGAACGCUAGCUACAGGCUUAACACAUGCAAGUCGAGGGGCAGCAUUUCAGUUUGCUUGCAAACUGGAGAUGGCGACCGGCGCACGGGUGAGUAACACGUAUCCAACCUGCCGAUAACUCGGGGAUAGCCUUUCGAAAGAAAGAUUAAUACCCGAUGGUAUAAUCAGACCGCAUGGUCUUGUUAUUAAAGAAUUUCGGUUAUCGAUGGGGAUGCGUUCCAUUAGGCAGUUGGUGAGGUAACGGCUCACCAAACCUUCGAUGGAUAGGGGUUCUGAGAGGAAGGUCCCCCACAUUGGAACUGAGACACGGUCCAAACUCCUACGGGAGGUAGCAGUGAGGAAUAUUGGUCAAUGGGCGCAGGCCUGAACCAGCCAAGUAGCGUGAAGGAUGACUGCCCUAUGGGUUGUAAACUUCUUUUAUAUGGGAAUAAAGUUUUCCACGUGUGGAAUUUUGUAUGUACCAUAUGAAUAAGGAUCGGCUAACUCCGUGCCAGCAGCCGCGGUAAUACGGAGGAUCCGAGCGUUAUCCGGAUUUAUUGGGUUUAAAGGGAGCGUAGGUGGACAGUUAAGUCAGUUGUGAAAGUUUGCGGCUCAACCGUAAAAUUGCAGUUGAUACUGGCUGUCUUGAGUACAGUAGAGGUGGGCGGAAUUCGUGGUGUAGCGGUGAAAUGCUUAGAUAUCACGAAGAACUCCGAUUGCGAAGGCAGCUCACUGGACUGCAACUGACACUGAUGCUCGAAAGUGUGGGUAUCAAACAGGAUUAGAUACCCUGGUAGUCCACACAGUAAACGAUGAAUACUCGCUGUUUGCGAUAUACAGUAAGCGGCCAAGCGAAAGCAUUAAGUAUUCCACCUGGGGAGUACGCCGGCAACGGUGAAACUCAAAGGAAUUGACGGGGGGCCCGCACAAGCGGAGGAACAUGUGGUAUAAUUCGUAUGAUACGCGAGGAACCUUACCCGGGCUUAAAUGGCAUUAGAAUAAUCUGGAAACAGAUUAGCAGCAAGGCA